CCUUUUAAUAUAAAUUGGUUGUUUUGAAAGUGUGUACAGGUAUUCAUAAACUUCUGAAUUAAGAAAUUCUUCGGCAAAACUAAGUUUCCCUGUAGAAUGUUUGAAUUGAUUUAAGUAAAAUCAGGAAAUCCUUAAAAUUUGAGAUGUUUUAUGAGACCAAAAUAAGUCUCUUCAUAAGAGGUCCCAAUCAAUUGCAUGCCACAGGUUUCACCGCAUACAACAUCUACCAGGAGUAAAGACAGCUUCAAA
Molecule: long non-coding RNA, 249 nt
Filed under: Mytilus galloprovincialis (Mediterranean mussel)
Lineage: Eukaryota; Metazoa; Mollusca; Bivalvia; Mytilida; Mytilidae
Source: RNAcentral